This 1371-nucleotide ribosomal RNA is filed under the name Triticum aestivum (bread wheat). Its description in RNAcentral is "partial small subunit ribosomal RNA". Lineage: Eukaryota; Viridiplantae; Streptophyta; Magnoliopsida; Poales; Poaceae. The record is from RNAcentral.
AUGUGGAGGAGGGUCGGAGAAGUGAGCGCCUUGGCCGGAGAUGUGGAGGAGGGCAAGGAGAUGGUUGGAAGCACUCGCCUGAGAUGUGCGCAGCGGCGGCGCCGCACACAGGAGGACGGACAGGGAAAGAGCGAUUUAGGUGCACGGGAGCACGUGAAGGGAGGAGAUGAUGAAACAGCCGACCUGCUGGAUGCGUGGGGCCGGAGAACCAAAGUAGCAUCAAGAAUAAUAGAUCUUCCCCGCAGCUGGGCGACUAUUUCAUCACACGCAAGAGCUUCCGCGCUUGGCCGAACACCGGGGCUCCUCGACUGCGCGGAGUCUUGGGUACAUAAGGAUCUCAUGUCACAAUCUGAAAAAGAAGAAUACAGGGCUGGGCUGCUGGGCCCCCGUCAGAUUGCGGCCCUUGCCAGAUACGGCAUAGUUCAGCAACUCGGAAAAAGAGAUAGCACAGCUCCUGUUGGCGUGUGGCCCACCCUCUGUCCACCGUUUCUCCUGGUUGCACAGGUGGACAAUCUUUCUGAAGUUCAGCUUGGCCAGGCUCCACCUUUAUUUCUUUUAUAUAGUUUGGUUGACGAACUGGCCUAUUGUGCAAGUUAUCUCGCGGUUGUGAGCUGCUAUUGUUACUUCCUGCCUGACAAUUGGUUCAGGAGCUGCUUAUUAUUCAAAAGUCUGUUCUUUCUUGGUGUUUCUGCUCCAGCUGUUGAGACUAGCAACAAAAACAAGAGGCACGGGAGCAAUAGCCCUCAUGAAACAAGAAGAGGAAUUGUCAGUUUUAAACCAGCUAAGCUCAACAUACAUGAAUUUGCUGGAGAAGAUACUCAACACUGGAUACAAAUAAUUGAACAAUACUUUGACACUGCUAUAACACCUCUUGAGCAAAGAACUGAAUUUGAUGCCUCUUAUCUGAAAGGAACUGUAGUCCAGUGGUGGAGAGGCACAACCUUUAAUUCUCAAACUCAUCCUUGGCACAGAUUCUGCAGAUAUCUAGGAGACAGAUUUGCAGAAAGUUCUAUUUGCGACAGUGUGAAGAAUUUUCAUGUCAUUCAAAUUGAAAUACCUGCCCACUCGUCCCCUCGUCUCCACCUCCGGCGGCGGCACGGCCUCUCCCUCGCCCAAGCUGCCAACGGCGCGGCGCUGACCGGCUUAGCCCGUGGCCCUACCAUAGUUAACGUGGCGCAUGCCUCCUCCUUCUCCACCUCCGGCGCCGUCCUCUCCCUCAACCACGUGGCUAAAAGCAUGGCGCGGAUCGCGCCUACAGCAGCCGGCGUUGGCGAUGCACACGCCUCUCAGCUCGUCCCCUACUCCUCCACCUCCGCUCGUCGAGCAGCUGCUUUGUCCAGUGGCGCCGGAGCGUUGCCCACAUCCGGGUAG